This 301-nucleotide ribosomal RNA is filed under the name uncultured bacterium. Its description in RNAcentral is "partial 16S ribosomal RNA". It matches the Rfam family "Bacterial small subunit ribosomal RNA", at positions 509 to 807 of the family's 1533-position model. The record is from RNAcentral.
CAGUCGCCACGGGAAUACGGAGGGUGCAAGCGUUAAUCGGAAUUACUGGGCGUAAAGCGCACGCAGGCGGUCUGUCAAGUCGGAUGUGAAAUCCCCGGGCUCAACCUGGGAACUGCAUCCGAAACUGGCAGGCUAGAGUCUUGUAGAGGGGGGUAGAAUUCCAGGUGUAGCGGUGAAAUGCGUAGAGAUCUGGAGGAAUACCGGUGGCGAAGGCGGCCCCCUGGACAAAGACUGACGCUCAGGUGCGAAAGCGUGGGGAGCAAACAGGAUUAGAUACCCGAGUAGUCCCUGUCUCUUAUAC